GACGAACGCUGGCGGCGUGCUUAACACAUGCAAGUCGAACGGAAAGGCCCUGCUUUUGUGGGGUGCUCGAGUGGCGAACGGGUGAGUAACACGUGAGUAACCUGCCCUUGACUUUGGGAUAACUUCAGGAAACUGGGGCUAAUACCGGAUAGGAGCUCCUGCUGCAUGGUGGGGGUUGGAAAGUUUCGGCGGUUGGGGAUGGACUCGCGUGUUAUCAGCUUGUUGGUGGGGUAGUGGCUUACCAAGGCUUUGACGGGUAGCCGGCCUGAGAGGGUGACCGGCCAGAUUGGGACUGAGAUACGGCCCAGACUCCUACGGGAGGCAGCAGUGGGGAAUAUAGCACAAUGGGCGGAAGCAUGAUGGAGCAACGACGGGUGCGGGAGGACGGCAUUCGGGUUGUAAACCGCUUUCGCCUGUGACGAAGCGUGAGUGAAGGUAAGGGGUAAAGAAGCACCGGCUAACUACGU
Molecule: ribosomal RNA, 467 nt
Filed under: uncultured bacterium
Lineage: Bacteria
Description: partial 16S ribosomal RNA
Rfam family: Bacterial small subunit ribosomal RNA
Source: RNAcentral